GGAUGAUUAGCUCAGUUGGUAGAGCACUUCGUUCACAUCGAAGGGGUCGUUGGUUCGAGUCCAAUAUCAUCCACCA
This 76-nucleotide transfer RNA is filed under the name Rickettsiales bacterium. Its description in RNAcentral is "tRNA-Val". It matches the Rfam family "tRNA". Rfam says of the family: Transfer RNA (tRNA) molecules are approximately 80 nucleotides in length. The record is from RNAcentral. Lineage: Bacteria; Pseudomonadati; Pseudomonadota; Alphaproteobacteria; Rickettsiales.